RNAcentral lists this unclassified non-coding RNA (369 nucleotides) under Zea mays. RNAcentral describes it as "misc RNA Zm00001eb282070". Lineage: Eukaryota; Viridiplantae; Streptophyta; Magnoliopsida; Poales; Poaceae. The record is from RNAcentral.
UCCAUGAAUCCUCUAGGCGUAGGCCCAUCUAUAUGCCCAUGCCUAGCCCUUGCCAUGCCCCACCGUAUUAUGGGAGAGGAUCACCACCACGCGCAGGAAAGCGAGUACAGGGCCACCGCACGCAAUCUUCGACUCGCCAUCGAUUCAUCCUGGAUGAGCGCACUGUGGAUGUCACCAGGGAGCCAUGGAAGCUAGUGCAGACAUCACUCGGGACCGGAGAUGCCCUGCUCACGGUGGAUUGCACACCGACGGAAGUCUCAGCCAUGAAUCUGCCCCACACCGCGAGUCGAUCUCUUCGUGACAUCACCACUGGAGAAGAAAAGGUAUCGCCAGAGGAGACUACUACGAUGAGAUCUAGGUGUCGUCUCC